RNAcentral lists this long non-coding RNA (1957 nucleotides) under Phocoena sinus (vaquita). Its description in RNAcentral is "lncRNA (ENSPSNG00000006195.1)". The record is from RNAcentral. Lineage: Eukaryota; Metazoa; Chordata; Mammalia; Artiodactyla; Phocoenidae.
ACAAUAGUGAGUCUGUAAACUCAGUCUCCUUCUACUGUCACUCCUUUCAUUCAGAAACAUACUUGGAAUAUCGUCAAGUCUCAUUUUAUAGGUGAAAAAUGACGCCCAAGGCUGGGGAGAGGGAGUCACUUGCUCAGGGUUGCCUGGCUAUUCGGGGGGCAGAACUUGGGUCAGAACAAGGGCCUCAACCUGAGCUUUUCCCAGAUUAUUUUACUUGCCCAGACUCUUUUAACCUAGGGGAAAGUUGCAGGAUUACAGUAAAGGACGGAGGAGUGAACCCCACUGGUGGGUGCGCCUGGGGUAGUGGAGAGGAGGGCAGUAUAAGUUCACGGUUGGUCCCCGUGGGGUCACUUUACUCAGGCUUCUGGCGCCACCUGGAGGGAGAUUUGGGAAGUGCAUCCACCUCCCGCCACUGUAGCCUGCUCCUGGCUUCGGGAUGUUUCCUCUAACACUCCCUUUCCUUCCAGCUCCUGGUCUAUUUUGGGGGCUUAUUGGAACAGAGAAUGUAGGUAACUUGGAGUUUUGUUUUUUGGUUUAGGAGGUCAAAAUACAAAUGCCCACAGGGGUCAGACCACUAAUGUAAAAGAGGAAAGUGAGUCUGGGUUAAGAAACUGUGGAUAGACACAGGUUGUUUGCACAUGAAAAAUGCUGGAAUAGUCUUCUGCUCACAAAGAAUUGUGUUUUCCAUUGUCUUUUUUGAAACCUGCUGGCCUUUCAUUCUCCCACUGUAGAUUGAAAGAUGGGUGCAGGGGUGGUUUAAUUUUCUUUUUAGCUCUAUCAUAAGGUGGUCCAAGUGUAGAAAAGGCAUCUGACAUUCGGCUUCAUUGUUGGGACAAUAAAAGGGAAUGGUGAGGACCAUGGCCAGCUAGAAUUACUGAUAAUCCCUGGACCAGAGGCACCCCUUCCAUGAAGCUCUUGUUUUAGCAGGCUCUGCUUUGUUACCCUCCGGCUCUGACUCUUGACCCUUAGUGAGGAGUCCAAGGGGCCAAGGAGGUACCCACCCAGACGGAGCUGUGUCUCCCCGUCCCUGUCCAGAUGGACCUGAGCUCACUUCCAGAAACUGCUGGGCUUCUUCCCUGGGCCCUCUCUCCCUUGAACCUCUAGUUCUGACAGUGGCUAUGGGAUGGUUGAUUUGGGGGUGGAUGGGUGUCCAGAGCUGGCCCAUCCUGUCAGGCAGCCACCAGCCACCAGUCACCAGCCACAUGCGGCGAUGGAGGAUUUGAAACAUGGCCAGGCUGAACUGGGAUGUGCUGUAAGUAUAAAAUAGAUAGCACAUCUUGAAGAUAGUAUGAGAAAAAAUGAAUAUAAAAUAUUCAUAAUUUGAUUACAUGUUGAAAUAAUAUUUUGGAUGUAUUGGGUUAAAUAUGUGUACUAUUAAAAUGAAUUCCACCUAUUCCUUUUUACUUUAUGAAGUAGCUACUAGAAAAUUUAAUAUUCCAUAUGGGGCUGGCAUUUGUAGCUCACAUUCUAUUUCUAUUGGGCUGGUACAGAGGGCCCUUGGAAGACUUGUUAGGGUGUCCACAGGCCUGUGCAUGAGGGCCCUUCAAAUAUGGGGUGAGAUUCAGGAUGCAGCUGGGUCAGAAGAGCAGGGGGCUGUGGGUCUCCCUUUGCAACCCGUCCUGGCUCCCCAGAUGCUGGGACCAGGCCCAGGGGGGCCUCUCUCCUCAGCCCCUGCCCGCUGUAGAAGACAUGCAGGGAUUCCAGAGCUUUCAACUUUGCAACAGAAAUCGGAAAUCUGGAUUUUUACAAGAAAUCUCUUGAUUUAAAAACGUUGGCAACUAAUUCAAAUGUUUGGAAAAAACAUUGUCCUGGCCAAGACCUCACAAGCCACAGAAAAUAUAUCUUUGGGCUCUGGUUCAAAGCAGAGAGACUGAGGGACUUCCCUGGCGGUCCAGUUGUUAAGACUCUGUGAUCCCUGGGCGGGGAACUAACAUUCCGCAUGUUGCAUGGUGCGGCC